RNAcentral lists this ribosomal RNA (406 nucleotides) under uncultured bacterium. RNAcentral's name for it is "partial 16S ribosomal RNA". It matches the Rfam family "Bacterial small subunit ribosomal RNA", at positions 30 to 526 of the family's 1533-position model. The record is from RNAcentral.
AUUGAACGCUGGCGGCAGGCCUAACACAUGCAAGUCGAACGAGUGGCGGACGGGUGAGUAAUGACUGGGACACUGCCAGAUGGAGGGGGAUAACUACUGGAAACGGUCGCUAAUACCGCAUACCAUCAGAUGUGCCCAGAUGGGAUUAGCUUGUUGGUGGGGUAACGGCUCACCAAGGCGAAGGUCCCUAGCUGGUCUGAGAGGAUGACAAGCGACCCUGGAACGGAGACACGGUCCAGACUCCUACGGAAGGCAGCGGUGGGGAAUAUUGCACAAUGGGAGCAAGCCUGAUGCAGCCAUGCCGCGUGUAUGAAGAAGGCCUUCGGGUUGUAAAGUACUUUCAGCGGGGAGGCGUUACCCGCAGAAGAAGGACCGGCUAACUCCGUGCCAGCCGCCGCGGUAAUAC